CUCUGAACCCCCCUCUCAAACUCUCUCGAAGUUUCCCUAACCCUAGCCGUCUCCUACCUUUCUACCUUGAACCCACCAGAAUCCAUGGCUUCUCAUGCUGUGGGAGUCUCAUACCCACAUCCCCUUGCUCCCACGCACCUAAUACCUGAAGAUUCGAGGCCUGAACUUGAAGGUUUGCACCUAGACCUCUGCCAACUCAAGGUUCCACGGCCAUCUCCAGGCUUGCUCUGGCCUACCAUGGUGGUUUGAGCCUGAUUCCGACCUCUCCAACUUAGAUUGGUGACCUUUCAAAGCCUUUCUCAUCUCUAAAGUUCUUUUGAAACCCUACCCUUCGAGGUUUUUCUCCCGUUUCUUUGGAUUCGUUGUGUAUCUAUGCUCUCAUUGAGUUUUCAAGCAAUCUCCCUAGCUUUUCUUUCAAAAAUUACUUUCAAAACCUCUUCAUUUCCGAUCUAGGAUUUUUCGAAAAUGUUAAGUGUUUCUCUGACUUCCUCUCCUUUUACUUUUGUGUGUAUUUUCCUCUAUUUGUGUUAUAUUUUUCUUCUACCAUAUAUGUUCUUCUACUGUGUUUUCUGUGCCCCAUUCUUGUAUGUUCUUCUAUGUAUUUUCUAUGCGAUGUUCUCGUAUGCUCUUCUACUAUGUUCUGGUAUGUUUUACCUACUAUAUUUUUUCUAUUAUUUUCUUAAUUGUUUUACUAUUUUUCUUCUAUUGAACCUUGUUUAAGUUUCUUCUAAAAGGAUCUCCUUAGGCAUGUUUUUCUACUAUUCUUAUCAGUAUUCUCUUAUUAUGUUUCGAGUUAGUUUCUUUACUAUGUUUGCUUUGAACCCUUAACUGUAUUUGCAUGUUGAUCAUAAGUUUUAUUGCUGAAAGAAGCAUGUUAGAGUUUCAUUUUUUUUUCUGAAACCUCUAAAACACGUUUCUUUCCAAUCGCCAGCUCUCUCAAGUUUGAUUUUUUGAUCUGCCUGAACUAGGGUUCUUAUUUCAAAACCUCCACCUCUUUCAGACCAAUUCCUUGGAUUCAUAUGAUUCUGACCUUUUGCUUAACGCUUUUACACUGGAUUUUUCUACUAAUGUUACAUGACAAUUUUUCUUAACAUGUUCAUGUGCUCCUUAUAUAUGAUAGACUUACCUUUAAAGUGGCUUUCAAAUUUGCGACGAGUUCAUACUUUCCUCUGAGUAUGGUCUGAUUGAUUUCUUUCCAUUGUUUGCUGAUUUUCUUUAAGUUAAAUUUUUUUUAUCUUUCUAACUCGGUUCAUUCAUAACAAAUCUCUGACCUCUGAUUUCUUGGCUAUUAAUUGAUUUCAUUCC
Molecule: long non-coding RNA, 1305 nt
Filed under: Nicotiana benthamiana
Lineage: Eukaryota; Viridiplantae; Streptophyta; Magnoliopsida; Solanales; Solanaceae
Description: long non-coding RNA (NBEN_LNC039564)
Source: RNAcentral